GCACUUAACUCUAAUGAACAUUUAAGAGGUAUAUAGUCUAAAUUAGAAUGCAUUAUAGUUGUGAAAUGUGCAGUGGAUUUCAAAUUCUUACGACACAAAAAAUUAAAAUGUGUAAAAUUAACUCUUUCUGAGUUAUGUCCUCAUAUGUGAUGCAUGGUUUCAGUCCAUACCUCUGCUCUGUGAGGUUCACACCUCUGUUCUCAGACUUAAUAUUUACUUACUUAUAUUCCAAUCUCUCCACAGUGGUUCAUAUGUAAUUUUCUACAGUAUAUUUAUUUUGCAACAUUAACAGUUGUGCUUGGCAGUUAUUAGAUUCUGAAAAAAAAUUAAUCAAACUUUAUUUUCUAAUAAGUAGUGCUUAUUUCACAUGUAAGUGAUAUAGACCUGUUGUAAAAAUUUUAUAAAUAAUUUAUUUUUCUAGUUUAGGAGAUAUUUUUACAAUCGGUAUCAUUUCUAGAUAUCUCUAUGUUUUCAUUUUAUCUAGACAGUAGUUACAAUGUUUUCUCUAAUUGCUGAAGAAACUCUCAUACCAAACUAAUUUCAAUUCCGUACAUUGUGUCAUCUGCUGUGUGUCAGCUUCUAUUUUAAGUGGCACAAAUAGGCGGCAAAUGAAGAAAACAACCCUGUUUCCAAGUAUUAAAUUUGAGAUAGAGCAUGCAGAAAAAGCAAGAAAAAAUAAUUUAACUCAGAAAUGCAUCAACAACAAUAAAGUUAACCUUAGCUUUAGGUGAUAUGAUGAAGGAAGACAUCUGUGAUAAACUGAAUUUUAAACUGAGAAAUCUGCUGAAAAGGAACAGAAAUACAAUGAUAUCAUUAAAGUUCCUAGCUGAAAGAGGAAGGUAUAGGGGACCUGAAUCAUUAAUAGGGCUGGCCUGAAUGAGGAACACCAUGGAAACCAGUACAACUUGAGUAGCAUUAAGUGAUUAUGAGUAGAAUAGUGGACAAGAUCAAAUAAAUGGGCCAGCACAGCUCAUGGACGGGCCUAUGCCUUAGGUGAGCAUUUGAAUAUACUUUGUAAGGGCAAUAUAAUAUUGUUCCUAUUUUUGACACAUUUGAAAAUAUAACAUUUAAAAUGUGUUAUUCCAUUGCAUAAAGGAUGAAUUUUAGCACGUGUGAUUUGUUAAAAUCAAGGAGAUCAUUUAGAAAUUCUUUUAGUAAAACAAAGGCAGAAGGUGAUGAUUGAAAAAAAAACAUUUUCAGUGGAGAUGAAAUUCAGACAGUGUAAGUUUUUACACAGUUUAAACCUUUGCCCUAUAUAUUGGUCCCACUAUGUAUUAACCAAAGAAUCUUGUUUUCAUUGAAUAUAUUUACACUUUUCUAAGGUAGAUUUAUACUAAAUUAUAUUUUUCUAUGCAUUUUUGGUAACCUUAGACAAGUAGCGUAAAUCUUACACAACUAUGAAGAAUGAAAUACUAAGACUGAUAAAUUAUUUUCUAAGCAUCAAAUUGUUAAUUAAUUGGGAUAGAAUUCCUCAUUUUGAAACUAUAGCACUACUUUUAAUGCAUAAUAUCACCUCUCCUUUACUAAAGAACCUAUCAAAUGAACAAAUUUAAAUUUAAUUUUGGCUUGUGUAAAGAUGCCUUCCCAGCUCUCACGCAGUCAUUGGUGGGGCUUUUAGGUGACUGGAUCUAGAGUGCGGGAUGCUGGAAUUGAUUCAUGGUGCAUUGCUAGGGCACUAGGAAUAAGGGUGUGAGUGCCACUCAUCCUAUUUUGUCCUGGAUGAGAUAUAAGGGAUAGAAAGAGCUAUGGGUGUCCCUUCUUGCUUUUCUACCUGAACCCUUCCAUGAACUGUUUUUCCUCCCCAGUGCCUGUUGACAUGACACCUCCCUUGGAGCCAGCCAAUUACAGACUCAAAUCUUUUAACUGUGGGCUAAAGAGAAACAAGACAUUUGGUUAGAAAAAACAUUAAUUUUUAGAAUGUAAUAAUGUACGAUUACAAAAAUCUUCACUGCUAUCUACUAAUUUUGACUUUAUACUUGGAAAUAGUGUAGUUUUGCUUUGAAUUGAUAAUUUGGUUGAUUUUGACUUUAGAGUCUUUGAUUAUGGUGAGGAACAGAAUAUCAAAAUAUCAUACUUAAAUAAAUUUAGACUAUUUAAUGUGAUUGAAACCCUCUUUGAGUACACAGUUGACCAAUUUUCAAGGGUGCAGUAGUCUGUAUUUACCUGAAUUUUUACACCUAUAAAAUAAUUUAAUCAUUUGCAGUAACUAUAAACAGCAAAUAUAAUUUUUCUAAAUAUAAAAUAUCAUUAUAACAUACAGAAGUAAAUAUUAUAUUGCUAUAAAAAUACAAAAAUAUAUUUAUGAAUAUUUUGGGACCUAAAGUAUAACUUAUAAAGUCAUGGGAUGUUUAUGCAGGUUUUUACUUUGUAUAUAGUGUGUAUUCUUCAAAAAGAAUAGCAAAUUAUUGACCAGUUACAUAAAUUGUGCAAUCAAUGCAUAACUAUUAAUAAAAUGAUAUCAACUAUUCAACAAGGUCAAUUUUGUACUUUGUAGUAGGAAACCCAGAAGGUAAUAAUAAAUAUCACAAUGAAACAUCAUCAGUAGAAAAAUGUUAGAAAGUUUUAAAAUUCUACAUUUUUAAAUAUAUUCUAAGUAUAAAAUUUCAAUGAUAAAAAAUUUCUUGACAAAAAUGAAUCCAGAAUAACUGAAUAGAUAAAUGGACUCUUCAAUGGUAUAUAGACUGCAGUGUCCUCUGAUUAAAUGUAUGUGACAGCACCGAGUGUAGUUUGGUUAUUGCAUUUACUUUAAGAGUGCUGCCAGUUCUUACAAUAAUCACUAGUUUUGCAUUCUCAAAAAUGAACCCUGAAGAAUGACUACAAUGUUCGUCAUUUUGUUUUAUGGUACUCAUGGCCUUAUGGCAUUUGUUCUCCCUUCGGGAGUUUGAAGUUAGUAGAAAACAUUUAACAAGGAAUUGCAUCCAAGGUCCAUUAAAGGCACUAGAUUUUAUACUUUGCCCUUUUUUUCUUCAGCAUUCACACUUUGCCUAGCAUAUUUUUAGAGUUAGGAGAAAUUCAUGGAGAAUCAGCCUAAAAAUAUUUAUUUUAAUACUGUAAAAUUUAAAUGAACUUCCAGUCACUUCCCAAAUGUGUUACAGAAAAAUUUGGAUAAGACUGAAUCUACAAAACAAAAGAUUGAAGGGGGGAAGCAGAGAAAUCAAUAGUAAAAAAAUAACUAAUUGAGUCUUUUACAUGUAUCACCUCCUCAUGAUGAAUUUAAUCAUUUUAUAAAGACUUUGUGCAUACAUAUGCACAUUUGUAAAUAUACAAACACAUUAACUUGUUUGUAUUUAUCUUAAUUAACAAGAUAUUUUUGUAAUCAAUUUUAAUAAACUAUGUCUUAGAAAAACACAAAAAUUAAAUGAAAGUUACAAAUUCUUGAAAACUUUUCUCAUCAUAUUUAUACAAUCUUUAUACUAUUAAUAUGCCUCACCAGAGCAUUAUAUCUGUAGAUGUUUAUGAAACUAUGUAUAUAAACCAUUAUUACUAUAUCUACAACUUACUUUUGAAUUCAUUCUGGAAGUUGUAUAUUCUAAAGAUUAAGACAAUAUAUGACCAUAUACACUUCAUCAGAACUCAAUAUUUUAUCACCCUAAAUAUCCUUUGCUGGCUAAGUAUCCCUCUCCCUCAAGCUCUAAUCAUUUCUGAAAACCAUUAAUCAUUUUACUGUCCUUGCAGAUUUCAGUAUUCCACAAAGUCAUAGAGUUGGAAUUAGUAUGUUGACAUAUUUGUUUGAGUACUCCAGAGGAACAACAUAAGUAGAAAAUACAAACAUUUAUUCAAGAGGAUUUUUUUAGUAAGGUUACAGAAUGAGAAGCAGAAAAGUCCACAGUGAUUAUCUGUGUGAGGGAGAACUGGAAGAUACAGAAGUUGUUCAACCCAGGAUGAUGGACAAGAAGGAUCAAGGACACAGCACCAGUCCAAGAUCAAAAGCCUGGAAACUGACUAGCGUGACAUCUGUGUAAGUCUGCACUGGAAGGCUGAAGAAAGUAGAAACCGACAACCAAAGGUGAUGGGAAUCUUAGAGCUCUUCCAAACAUGUGACUAUAAGCAUUUUUAAAUGCAUGUUGUCAUUUAUCAUUGUGUUUGUUGAGACUUUUGCUCAAAUCUUUUGCCUAUUUUUGCAAUCAGAAUUUUUUUCUUACUGUUAUUAUAAAGGAGUGCUUGCACAUUUUGGAAUAUUGCUUUCAUUAGAGGUUUACUGAAGAAACAUUUUCUCUCAGUCUGUGGAGUUGUGGCUUCAUUUUCUUAUUGUUGUCUUUUGCAUGGCUGGAGCUUUCAGUUUUAAUAAAGUGAGUGUUUUCAACUAUUUUUUAAUAUCUUUGUUAUUAGAGAUAUCAUCAAAAAGUCACCUAGGCUUUCUUUUAGGUUAUCCUCCAUGAGUUUUACAGUUUUGAAGUCUAUUUUUAAGAACAUGGUCCACUUUGAGUUACUUUUUGUGAAGUUUAUAAAGUUUAUAUCUACAUUAAUUUGUUUUACAACCAGAUGUCCAGUAUUUUCAUGGUCAUUUAUUUAAGUCUACCUACUUUGUAUGUGUUUUACCGAUACACAGUUGAUUAUAUUUCUGUGUUGCUAUUUAUGGGCUCACUAUUGCAUUCAUUUAUCUCUUUGCUUAUUGUCUUGGUUACUUUUUACUCAUUGCUGAGACAAAAUAUCCCACAAAGUGGGAAAGGAAAGAUUUUUUUUUUACAGUUUUUGGUGGUUUCAGUCCAUACUCAGUUGGCUCCAAGGCAGGGUGGCAUGGCAUAGCCGCAGUUCAUGGAGGCUGCAAACAGCAAGGCUGAAACCAGCAAAAGAGCCUGACACACCGUCUUCCUGUCAUUACAUCACAUCCUGGCUCCACCCCUCUGUGGGUGGAGCACUCAGACCAUCAAUCCAAGCACUAGACGAUGAACCAAUCACAAAUGCACGAUGCAAACUCAUGAGGCCUGGGGGACACAACAUACACCAUGACACUUCCUCUUUCACCAGUAUCAUGUUAUUCUGAACACUUUUUCUUGAUAGUUACAUUUAAUUAUUAACAACUUUUUAAAUUUUUUUUUAAAUUGUAAGUAGGCAGAUUAAAUCUCAAAUUGCUUCACCAACCCAUUAAAGUAUCUAAAAUUACCCGCAGCUUCUAUUAAAAUGCAUAUUUAUUUUGAGAAGACUCAUUGUAGAUUUAGUACUGUGCAUUGUAAAUAAGCACAGGAUGAUGGUUCCUAGAUCAUAUUUUUAAAAAUAAACCAAAAUAGCAAACUAACUUUGAGGCUGUUUAACCAGUGACUCUAGAAAAUGUUCUUCUCUAUUAUACACAUAUAUACUUUUUAAUAAAAAAGGAUAGUCUCUAAAACUUUUAAUAAAAUAAACACAUCAUCUCAAAUAAUCAUAUAUCUAUAUUUUUACUUGAUUUAAAACAUAUUAAUAUAUGUUUUAUAUAUAAAUGAUUCUUAACAGAUGAACAAAGCUCCUGUAGUCAGACUUUAUUUUGGAAGUCAUUGUGGUCAAAUAGCAUGUUCUUUGAUUUAAACAGUAUUUUAUUAAGCUAAUUUAAAUUUUAUGUAUAUAAAAUUGCUAUCAUUUUUUAUGUAAGCCCUGGGAUAUCCUAAUAAUACAUUUUGUCUACUUGGUAAUAAUUUAUUGACGAGUAAAAAUUAUUACAAUAAUUUUUAGUAUAAUGAAAUAUUUGUCAACCUCUUGGGUUUCAUAGAUUUAGUAAAUCAUUUUCAGGAAUAUAUAAAACUUAUUAAAGUAAACACUAAAAGUAAGCAGUCUCAAUACAAAACUAGAAAGGAAGAAAAGAAACCUAGAAAAUGGAUUAGGAGGGUAAAGGUCUAGUUUUUAAUUUUAACUGGAAAAAUCAUAGAAAAUUAGAUUUAUAAAACUAUAUAGAAAUUUUACCAACUUAUUUCUUGCAUCUGAUUGCAUUAUUGUGUUUUCAAGAAACAUCAUUUUCAAAUUAACCUCCAUUAAAUCUCAAAGUAUCCACUUGUUUUCAGUGACUUCAUAGCUUUUCAUGUCCUCCAUUUUUUGUGUUUGAGUGUUGUAAACUAUGAUGAAUUGGAAAAGAUUGAUUUCACUGCACAUUAGAUAUUACUUGACUAAAAAAAUUAUAUGUAAUUAGGAUGUUUAAUGUAGCUGUUUUCAAAUGGUUGGUAGAUGUAGUUCCCUUCAUCAGAAUGAUUAAACUUGCUUCUUCAGAAAAAAGAUGUAGAGAGACGGCGACAUGAACUACAAAAGCUACUCACAGAAAUAAUCCAGAAGAAUUUUCCUAAUUUAGCAAAAGGUAAAGAUACUCAGAUGUAUGAAGCAUUCAGGACCCCAGCCACCUACAACCCAAACAGAGCUACACCCAGGCAUAUAAUAAUCAAAAUACCAGAAAUCCAAUAUAAGAACAGAAUAUUAAAAGCUGUCAGAGACAAGAAACAGAUCACUUACAAGGGUACACCCAUCAGAAUUACAGCAGAUUUCUCGGCACAAACCAUCAAAUCACGAAGAGUGUGGGGGGAAAUAAUUCAAGCUUUGAAAGAUAAUAACCUCCAGCCAAGAUUGAAAUGUCCUGCACAACUAUCCCUGGAAAUUGAUGGAAAAACAAGGUGCUUCCAGGAUAAAGAGGAACUAGGGGAAUAUGCAACCACCAAUCCAACUUUACAGAGAAUACUUCAGGAUAUUCUAAAAAAGGAAAA
Molecule: RNA transcript, 6659 nt
Organism: Cavia porcellus (domestic guinea pig)
Lineage: Eukaryota; Metazoa; Chordata; Mammalia; Rodentia; Caviidae
Gene name: histone H1.8-like
Exons: 2
Source: RefSeq, a predicted model, not a curated record